CGGUUGCCUGUGAGGAAACAGAAAACUCCCUAAUCAUCAGCCAUUAAGCUUCUCAGCCUCGACGAACAGCCAAAUACAUGGAAAAGAAAGUCUCUCUAAAACACAGAUCGGAUGAUAGCACUAUUCAGAAUGCUUUCAUGGUAUCCCGUGGUCUACAGAACAAAUGCAGACAAUUCAACCAAAUAGCCAAGACACUUUGGAAUCUCGUCACUGUCUCUCCUCCGCUCACUUUUCCCAGUCUUCCCGGACCGCUCGGUGUUUCCAGUGGGCAUGAACUUCCACACCACCAUGCCUCUGUCUGCCCGUAUUCCUUAAUUUCUCCCAUCUAAACGCUGAUUCAUCCUUUAAGGGUUAGAUCAUCCAAGUUCCUCCAGCAACCUGCCCUUCUCAGUGCUCCCGUGGUGGUUAACAGAAAUCCCCAAACUCAGGUAUGUGGGGUCCCUUCUCGGGUCCCACUGCUGUCUAAUGCUUUUGACAGCUGGCCCCUAAUAAAGGUAAAUUUCUUAUGAAUGAAAUAGCUCUCCUAAAAAUCAUAUAUUUUCCUCUUAAGCAGAGGUUGCAAUACCCUUAAGAGCAGCACCUCUGUUUUCUUGCAGACGUGAGAUUAAGUUUGUAGCAAAUGUGUGUUUCUGCCACUUGCUGGCCAUGUGUAGCCCUUCUGCAUGAUGGUGAGUGACAUUAGCAGCCAAGUGAAGAGGGGAGCGGUGGGAAGAGCUGUUCAGAGGAGCACGGUCCUGUCCCAUGCUGGCUCUUUCUCUUCCUUUGGGAAGUGGCUUAAGUGUCACUCCUCCCCUCGGCAAGGCCUUCCCCGCUGCCUGCUACGGGAGGGCCAAACCUCCCCAGAUAGUAGUCUCUUAAUUUUCUUCUCUUCUUCCCUUCUCCUUCUUCUUCUUUUUAAAGAUAUUUAUUUUAUUUGAAAGGCAGAGAGAGAAAGAGAGAGAGAGAGAGAGAUCCUCUAUCCACUGGUUCACUCCUCAAAUGGCUACAACGACUGGAGCUAGGCGAGAAGCCAGGAGACAGGAGCUUCUACCGGGUCUCCCAUGUGAGUACAGGGGCCCAAGGACUUGGUCCAUCUUCCACUGCUUUCCCAGGCACAUGAGCAGGGAGCUGGAUCGGAAGUGGAGCAGCCAAGGAUGGACCCAGCACCCGUGUGGGAUGCUGCUAUGCCACAGCACCAGCCUCAGUGUUCUUCUGAGACCUGACCUCGAAUUGUAACUAAUUGCUUGGUGGUCUUUUAAAAAUUGUUUAUUUUUACUUUAUUUAAAAGGGAAAGAGAGAGAGAUCUCCCAUCUGAUGGUUCACUCCCCCAGAUGUCUGCAAUCGCCAGGACUGGGCCAAGCCAGAGCCAGGAGCCCAGAACUCAAUCUGGGUCUUCCAGAUGCGUGAUAGGACUCAGGUACUGGAGCCAUCACUGCUGCCUCUCAAAGUGUGCAUUAACUGAGAGGCUGGAUCCGAAGUGGAGUAGCUGGGACUUGAACCAGACAUGCCAACAUGGGGUGCAGGCUCCCAAGCAACAACCUAACUGCUGUGCUGAUCCCACUUUCUGCUUGGUGUUUUUGAAUUCAGGUUAGAUUGGAAGCAUUGUAAGGAAGGAAACCACAUCUCUUUUGUUCACCACUGCUUCCAGAUUCCCAGCUCAUGUCCGGCUCACACGAUAACAGGUAAGGUAAGAAAUGAGAUAGAAGCACAGACUUAAAAAAAAAUGCAGUUACUAUCUGGGAAAGCCAUUAGUUCAAAUUUCAAAGCCUCAGAGUCACAGUGGUAUAACAAGCAAUGCUACUUCUCAGAAAAGGCAGAAUUAUAUUUAGCACAAUGUACUUAAGACAAGAGGAACAUGAGUGACCUGUCUACGUAGCAUGGUUAAAACAGAUGACUUCAUAUCAAUAGGAGAAGGCUCAGUUAACUGGAAAAAAAAAAAAAAAAAAAAAAAAACAACAACAACAAAAAAAACAAACAAAAAAAACCAAACCCAACAAAAUUCCUCAGAGAUCAAAUAAUUGACGUGCUACAAGUCAUUCUUCCACUGAUUCAUUAGUUCGUUUCUCAACAACUAUUUCCUGUGUGUCUGUCAGAAUACUUUUCUAGAAAUUGCUGGAAAUUCUUAGAAGAUGACGAGCUCCUUCUCCCCCAUGACUCGCCAUUGAAAACAAGAAGGGAAGUGAACCUGUCUGCCGUCUCCUGAGAUCAGGUCCUGCCACAUUGUCCUCACCUGCCCUCCGAGCUGAUCCCCCUAUCCCAUGUUGCCCUCUGCACAUUCACCACACAAUGGCCAGUGCACAUUUUAAAACUAUGUUGGGGGCUGGUGCUGUAGCACAGUAUGUUAAAGCCCCAGCCUGCAGCACCAGCAUCCCUAUUGGCGCCAGUUCAAGUCCCGACUGCUCCUCUUCUGAUCCAGCUCUCUCUGCUAUGGCCUGGGAAAGCAGUGGAAGAUGGCUCAAGUCCUUAGGCCCCUACACCCUUGUGGGAGACCCAGAAGAAGAUCCUGGCUCCUGGCUUUGGAUCAGCUCAGCUCUGGCCGUUCCAGUAAUUUUGGGAGUGAACCAGCAUGAUGGAAGACCUCUCUCUCUCUCUGGCUCUACCUCUCUCUCUGUUACUCUUUCAAAUGAAAAAAAAUCUUAAAAAAAAAAAAAAACAAACUAUGUUGGAUCCUAUGACUGUCUUGCCUGAUAUCUUCCAGUGCCUUCCAACUGGUCUCUGCAGUUCUGGCCUCCACUAACCAUUAUGACCUUCCAUAUCCCACUACAGUUCUUGCUUCCAAAUUCCAUUCACCCCAGGCCUGGCUCCCUAUUGUUCUCACCUCUGGGCGGCUGCACCUGCUGUUCUCUCUGCCUACAAGACUCUUCCCAAGAUAUCUACGUGGCUCAUUCCUUCUCAUCAUUCAGACCUUGACUCAUGGAUCUGGAGAACCCACGUCACUCUACGGACAAGGACGAUGCAUUUCCCGCCUGUAUUGGGCACAGGGAAGAGCACUCAAUGGGUCACAGAAUUUUCUGGAGAACAGCUCCUUCCGCACCUGCCCUGGGUGAUGGGAUGUUUAUUAAAGUCGAUGAGAUCUGGUCAGUCUUGUGACCACCAAGGAGCUGGCCGAAGAGCACCGUGAGAACAAAGCUCACCACUGAGCCCCUCCCUGCACAGGUGGGCAGUGGAGGUCCAGAGGAUGCUGUCCGAUGCCUUCCCGGGCACAUGCAGGGGCUGGUCUGGAAUCCAGGGCUCUAACUCCCAGGAGCUUUUCCGCCCUCUCUUCCAGCCUGUCGUGAACCUCGUCCCUGAGGGAACCACCUGGGCUCGUGCCUCCUCUGCUGAAGCUCACACAAUGCUUUAUUCUUUCGGCUUACAAAUGUUUGAGUGUCUGCUUUCCCAGAUGCCCUCUGUCUCACAGUGUUUUCCUCUGUGCCAGAAACAUCAAAGGGUCCAACUUCAAUAGCCCUGCUUCUAAUUCAUAUCCCCAAGAUCAGGAACUGUGCCCCACAACGUCAAGCCAUUGCAAACACACGAGGGUACUUCAAGAAAGUUGUG
Molecule: non-coding RNA, 3516 nt
Organism: Oryctolagus cuniculus (rabbit)
Lineage: Eukaryota; Metazoa; Chordata; Mammalia; Lagomorpha; Leporidae
Source: RefSeq, a predicted model, not a curated record